This is a long non-coding RNA of Symphalangus syndactylus (siamang), 460 nucleotides long. RefSeq lists it as uncharacterized. NCBI's taxonomy places the organism in Eukaryota, Metazoa, Chordata, Mammalia, Primates, Hylobatidae. The record is from RefSeq and is a predicted model, not a curated record.
GCUGGAGUGCAGUGGCGAGAUCGCAGCUCACUGCAAGCUCUGCCUCCCGGGUCCACGCCAUUCUCCUGCCUCAGCCUCCUGAGUAGCUGGGACUACAGGCGCCUGCCACCACGUCUGGCUAAUUGCUUUAACACUUUUUUGGGAGAGGGGUGUGGCAACAGUAAAGCUUUCUACAUGUUAAACAGAAUGAACAAAACCAACGCAGAGCAGUGACUUCCUGCCAGAGAGAGCAGAAGGAGACCCUUAUAGAACAGCUGUUCCACUGCUCCAAAGGCCUCGUGUGGUUCUAUCCCUUGGACUGCCUUUCUUCAACAGCCCAGACACCUGCUCCGUCAGAUUUAUAAGCCACAACCCCUAGAGCCAUGCCAAUCAAAGCAUGGCCCGCAGACCUGUGCCAGCCUCCGAACCUGUUUGUUACUGAUUUGGAGCAAGAUGGGGACAGAAAUUGAGAGCCAGAGUU